Molecule: transfer RNA, 74 nt
Filed under: Planctomycetota bacterium
Lineage: Bacteria; Pseudomonadati; Planctomycetota
Description: Planctomycetes bacterium tRNA-Arg
Rfam family: tRNA
About the family: Transfer RNA (tRNA) molecules are approximately 80 nucleotides in length. Their secondary structure includes four short double-helical elements and three loops (D, anti-codon, and T loops).
Source: RNAcentral
GCCCCCUUAGCUCAGUUGGAUAGAGCGCGAGUUUCCUAAACUUGAGGUCGCAGGUUCGAGUCCUGCAGGGGGUA